GGAGAAAAGAAGGAUGUGGAGAAUACAAAUCAAGCACAUGCAGCUAAAAAUAUAUCUGUUGUGACACUUCAUUUUACAAAAGAACCUUUAGACUUUGUUCCCUUUGGAUGUUAUACAAAUUAUACUGGUGCUGUAAAAACAUGUAAAGUACAAAUUUUGAGGAAACAAUACUUGUUUUAUAUGUUUUGAAGAUGUCAAACAGAAAUAUGAUGCAGAACACCGUUUUCCCUACUGUUGAAAGAAUAUAUCUGAAUUACAAGAAUUCAUUAAGAAUGCAGUUUUCAGAAAACAUCAAGCAGACACAUUUAGUUCACAAGAUAAACUUAUUUAACAACAAAGAAAAAAAAAAGCCUCGAGGAAAUAGGGUCCUGAUAUAGCAUAACUAAUUUUUCAGUUUAAAAAUGUAAAAAAUUGAUAUCCCAUUUCUUCAGGAUAUCUUUAUGCUAAGGAUUGAU
This is a long non-coding RNA of Populus euphratica (Euphrates poplar), 455 nucleotides long. RefSeq lists it as uncharacterized. The transcript is spliced from 3 exons. Lineage: Eukaryota; Viridiplantae; Streptophyta; Magnoliopsida; Malpighiales; Salicaceae. The record is from RefSeq and is a predicted model, not a curated record.